This 71-nucleotide transfer RNA is filed under the name Sphaerodactylus townsendi. Its description in RNAcentral is "tRNA-Ala". The record is from RNAcentral. Lineage: Eukaryota; Metazoa; Chordata; Lepidosauria; Squamata; Sphaerodactylidae.
GUAUAGCUCAGUGGGUGAGUCUCUGCUUUGCAUGCAGAGGGCCCCAGGUUCAAUCCCCAGUUGAACAGGCA